This is a long non-coding RNA of Stegostoma tigrinum, 2269 nucleotides long. RefSeq lists it as uncharacterized. NCBI's taxonomy places the organism in Eukaryota, Metazoa, Chordata, Chondrichthyes, Orectolobiformes, Stegostomatidae. The record is from RefSeq and is a predicted model, not a curated record. The transcript is spliced from 4 exons.
CAGCAUCUUGGAGAUUUUCUAAAGAAGAGUCCAGACCCGAAACGUCAGCUUUCCUGCUCUUCUGAUGCUGCUUGGCCCGCUGUGCUCAUCCAGCUCUGCACCUUGUUAUCUCAGAUUCUCCAACAUCAGCAGUUACCACUAUCUCAGCAUCCUGGUCCUUUAAUUUAGAACAUGAUGUCGAUCUCUGACGGUGAUGGUACUACAGCAGGGCUUUGGAUCUGGACUCGCUAUAAUACCGGUGCCUUGUCAACAUCACACCUUUCUAGGAGCAGCAACAAGUAAUAUACCCAGAGACCUCCCAAGACACUUCAGGAACAUUAACAACAAACAAACCAGUGUGAUUUGGCUAAUCAAGAAUCAUGCUUUCCACAUGCAAAGGAUGGAACAAAAUCAGGCACUGCCAGACUUGCUGAGCUUUUCCAGCAACUUUGUUUUUGUGAUAACAAGGUGUAGAGCUGGAUGAACACAGCAGGCCAAGCAGCAGGAAAAGCUGACGUUUCAGGUUGAGACCCUUCUUCAGAAACUUUGCUUUUGUUCCUGAUUUACAACAUCUGCAAUUCUUUCAGUUUCUAAUCAACAAAAUUAAAUCUCUGAACUUUGCACAUUACAAUCAAUGAGCAUACUCCAAAUUGAAACUUGUGUUAUCAAAUAGUGGGCACAGGUCAUCUCAAAGUCUUGAUAAAUUAAACUACGAAACAAAACCUUACAUGCUAAUACAUUCUCACAUUCACUGGCACAUAGUGUUCAUACCGUAUAGAUAUAAGAAAGAAGUUAACCAGGUUGCAAAGAAAUACAAAUUCAUAGCAAGAUGUAAUCUAGCACACAUUAAGUGGAAGGUAAAAUUGAUCAACGGACCUGUUUGUUUUCAGCGACGGGAAACACAAACUGGCAGGUGAAUUAAAACUGAACCAAUUCCAACAAAGGGAAAAAGGGAAUUCAUUGAAGACUAGAGGUCCCACGAAUGAAUAAAAGGAAAUUAGGCCAAAUCUAAAAUUAGAAAAAUAUUUAAUCCGCACAUGAUAGAUGGAUAAAGAAAUAGAAUUUAAUUAUAAAGGAGCUGCUACAGAAGUAGAUGGAGGUUAGAAACGCUAGAGAAUUUAAAAAAAUUAAUAAGAAAUAGGCAAUAUAAGACCUUUCGACAGAUGGAUUAAAUAGGACAAGAGGAUCAUUACAGUGAGCUCGGGCUCCCGAGUUUGAGAUGUUGCUUUAGAUCAGUCAGCGAAAAAAAUCCUGAAGUUCUGUAUCUUCACGUUCAGGGGAGAUUGAUAUUGAACUUAUAGGGCUAGAGGUUAUAAUGGUAAGAGCUAUGGUUUUAAAGGGGUUAUAAAAUCCCAAGGAAGGCAAGCUACCAAAAUUUGAUAAAUAAUAAUCUCAUGGAAGGACACGGUUCUAAAUGGAAUUCUGAAGAAGUCUGUGAAAUAGAACUUGUGCAAAAAAAAAUUAUCACUCUCGGGACAUGGACAUCACUGGCUGGCCAGCAUUAUUGACCAUCCCUUGUUGCCUUGAGAACGUGGUGGUGAGCUGCUUUCAUGUUGCAGUUCGUGUACUGUUGGAAGACCCACAAUGACCUUGGGGAGAGAAUUCCAGAAUUUAGUCAACAGUCAAAUUGAACCAGAGGAAUGGAAAGAAACCAAGAUGGCUUUCCAAGCCAGGAAAUCACGAGGCAGGCCACCAGACUAAAAUAACUGAGUACUGAGUAAAAAAAAAAGUGAAUAAGGGUCUGUUAACACUGAUUUUAGGCCUGACCAACCUGUUGGAAUUCUUUGAAGAAACAGACUAGAUGCUCUGCUGUUUUACAGAUCUUAAAGGGUAAAGUACCUGAUAAAGUUUUAUAGCAAAGAUAGUAGCACACGGAAUUGAGAACAGUGUGGCUACAUAAACAGAAAGUGGUUUGACGUCGAAAAGAUUAAAAUAAAACUGGCGGGUGGAUGAUUUUGCAAUGGGGUCCAUGUCACAGCUGCCCUUGUUGCUAUGUAAUUAAUAAACUGCAAUCAUUAAAAUUUCAUCUCAGUUACACAACACGAAAUUAUAAAACCAUUUGAAACAUCGCAGGAGGGAGAUAAGUAGCAUAUACACUCAAAUGCAGGAAAAUAUAGACAAUAUUGAAAACAAAAACGGGGAAAGACAAAACGGAAAUGGAGAGUUCAAGUUAUUUAAAAAAGCUGCAACUUUUUCCACUGGAAUAUAGGAGAUUGUGGGGUGACCUUACAGCUUUAUAAAAUUAUACAGGGAACAGAUAAGCUGUAUAGCAAAGAUCUUUUUUCCUAGG